AAAUUGAAGAGUUUGAUCAUGGCUCAGAUUGAACGCUGGCGGCAGGCCUAACACAUGCAAGUCGAACGGUAGCACAGAGAGCUUGCUCUCGGGUGACGAGUGGCGGACGGGUGAGUAAUGUCUGGGAAACUGCCUGAUGGAGGGGGAUAACUACUGGAAACGGUGGCUAAUACCGCAUAACGUCGCAAGACCAAAGAGGGGGACCUUCGGGCCUCUUGCCAUCAGAUGUGCCCAGAUGGGAUUAGCUUGUUGGUGAGGUAACGGCUCACCAAGGCGACGAUCCCUAGCUGG
Molecule: ribosomal RNA, 291 nt
Filed under: Salmonella enterica
Lineage: Bacteria; Pseudomonadati; Pseudomonadota; Gammaproteobacteria; Enterobacterales; Enterobacteriaceae
Description: partial 16S ribosomal RNA
Rfam family: Bacterial small subunit ribosomal RNA
Source: RNAcentral